Molecule: ribosomal RNA, 26 nt
Filed under: Nardostachys jatamansi
Lineage: Eukaryota; Viridiplantae; Streptophyta; Magnoliopsida; Dipsacales; Caprifoliaceae
Description: partial 5.8S ribosomal RNA
Source: RNAcentral
CCGAGGGCACGUCUGCCUGGGCGUCA